Molecule: ribosomal RNA, 621 nt
Filed under: Triticum aestivum (bread wheat)
Lineage: Eukaryota; Viridiplantae; Streptophyta; Magnoliopsida; Poales; Poaceae
Description: partial small subunit ribosomal RNA
Source: RNAcentral
AUGGCAUCCAACUCCUACCCCUUGUUGUUGGUGCUGCUGGCACUCUCGGCCCCGCUGGCCGUCUUUGCCGGCGACCCAGACAUCCUGGCCGACUUCGUCGUCCCAGCAAGCAUCAACCCGACGAACAUCACCGGUGACUUCUUCACUUACACCGGCUUCCGCGACAUAAGCACGCCGGUGUACGGUUUCACCUUGACCAAGGCCACUAUGAUGGAGUUCCCAGCCCUGAACGGUCAGAGCGUGUCCUACGCCAUGCUCACAUUCCCCCCGGGCUCCGUCAACCCCACGCACACCCACCCACGCGCCUCCGAGCUGCUGAUCGUCGCCCAUGGCGCGCUCUCCGUUGGGUUCAUCGACACCGCCAACAGGCUCUACACCCAGGACCUGGGCCCGGGCGACAUGUUCGUGUUCCCCAAGGGGACGGUGCACUACCAGUUCAACCAAGGGAACAGCACCGCCACGGCGCUCUCCGCAUUCGGGAGUGCCACGCCUGGGCUCGUGUCUGUUCCCCUCGCUGUGUUUGAUACCGGCAUCGACAACGCCGUCCUCGCCAAGUCGUUCAAGACUGACGAGGCGACCAUCCAGAAGCUCAAGGCAGGCCUGGCUUUCCGGUGCUGUUAA